UUUUUGAUCUCUGCCCGAUUCUUCCCCUCUCGCUCGACGUCGCCUCUCCCUCAUGCGGCGUGGAGCGUCGAUCGCCUUUUCUUCCUCUUCCCCCAAUGGAUGCUGCGUGACGCCUCACCUCCCUCGCGAACAAAAUCACUGGCCAAGCUCUUCUCCUCCUUUGCAUCGCGUUUUCCCCUUCUUUCCCUCUGCCCUAGCUUCCACCCGAGCCCUUCCUCUUCCCUGAUCUUGCGCUGCUGUCGACCACCACGAACACAAGAUCGGUCGUCGCAGCCUGAAGAUGACCGCCGUGAACCGACACUGGUCGCCAGCCACCUUAGCACCACCCAAUCUCCAAAUCGCCACUUCGCACAAGCUCAUCUUCGGUCAGGAAAGGGAGAUAUGAGUUCUAGUUCCACCGAUAUCUCAGGUUCCAGCGCUAGAUUUAGGUUGUAUCGGCGUCCCAAAUGGCUACCUCUUCCUCCAUUGACCAAUAUUGAGCGGCCACCUUCGAUCCUUUCAUCAUUGUUCUCAACAGCCGCUAGGUCCAGUCUCCAUCGGAGAGGAACUACCGAUUUGGUGGCUUCAUAGUAUCGUCAACUUCUUCCUUGCCAACUUCGAUCGUAGCUUGCCCUAGUUUUCCUUGGGGAGGAAACUGCUAGCGAUAAGAUCUGGCAGUGGCUUUUGGGAGAAGUCAGCCACAUGUCUCUUGCAGCAACCUUCUCCGGCAAGCAAUUUCUGGUAGCUGCUCAUCUUGGCCGUGAGUCAUCAGGGAUGACUUUGUAUUGUGGUUGAGGCUGUCAGGAGGUUCCAAUCGUUAGUCCCCCACCUCGUGUAGAUAUGGUUUUCUACUUUCAGACUUUGUUUCCAUGUUUGUGAUCUACAUACUUGUGAUGUGUAGAUAUUGCACUCAUGGAUUUUAUAUUGAGUUUUAGUCUACUACCCUUAUUUUCCAUUGCGAUGGUUUUCCAUUGUGGGUUGAGUUUUCCUCGAGUAGUGGAGUAGGUUGUAUUAUAAACUGCGUGUUAUGAUGUGUUGUGUAGUCAGCCGAAGGCUGAUUUUUUAUAAACUGCGUGGAUUGAUUGUUUA
Zingiber officinale is the source of this 1068-nucleotide long non-coding RNA. RefSeq lists it as uncharacterized. The record is from RefSeq and is a predicted model, not a curated record. The transcript is spliced from 3 exons. NCBI's taxonomy places the organism in Eukaryota, Viridiplantae, Streptophyta, Magnoliopsida, Zingiberales, Zingiberaceae.